UAUUGGAGUAUGUUUAGGCUAUUCCUAACUGCUCUAUUUCAUGCAUGUGGUUAGGUUGAAAUUUGAUUAUAUAUUUUUAGUUCAAUUGAGGGUUGUCAUGGAUGUGACUUGCAUGGGAAUUGCAUGUCCUAACAUAUCAUCCCCCUCAUUAAUAUGAUGCCAUACUAUUAUUCGAUCUACUACUAAGGUUACUGCUCCUUUACUCGUUUCCUUACAAUCGUAUUUUUGCUUUUUAUCCAGGCCAUUGACAUAAGGGAUGCUCUGGCAAAGUCAAUUUAUGCAUGUCUUUUUGAAUGGUUGGUGGAACAAAUUAACAAAUCACUUGCAGUAGGGAAAUGGCGUACUGGAAGAUCCAUCAACAUUCUUGAUAUUUAUGACUUUGAAUCAUUCGAUAGGAAUAGUUUUGAACAGUUUUGCAUUAAUUAUGCAAACGAGAGAUUGUAGCAACACUUCAAUCGUCAUUUAUUCAAGUUAGAGCAGGAGCAUUGAAGCAGCUUGUGUCGCACACCCUAUUGCUGAUGUCUUUAUCAACUUUGCUUCAUUUAGAAG
Molecule: long non-coding RNA, 549 nt
Organism: Humulus lupulus (European hop)
Lineage: Eukaryota; Viridiplantae; Streptophyta; Magnoliopsida; Rosales; Cannabaceae
Exons: 3
Source: RefSeq, a predicted model, not a curated record